GGUAACGUGGGGAGGAGCUUGCUCCGCCCCGACGACGAGUGGCGAACGGGUGAGUAAUACAUCGGAACGUGUCCGCUCGUGGGGGACAACCAGCCGAAAGGUUGGCUAAUACCGCAUGAGUUCUACGGAAGAAAGAGGGGGACCCGCAAGGGCCUCUCGCGAGCGGAGCGGCCGAUGACUGAUUAGCCGGUUGGUGAGGUAACGGCUCACCAAAGCAACGAUCAGUAGCUGGUCUGAGAGGACGACCAGCCACACUGGGACUGAGACACGGCCCAGACUCCUACGGGAGGCAGCAGUGGGGAAUUUUGGACAAUGGGCGCAAGCCUGAUCCAGCUAUUCCGCGUGUGGGAUGAAGGCCCUCGGGUUGUAAACCACUUUUGUAGAGAACGAAAAGACACCAUCGAAUAAAUGGUGUUGCUGACGGUACUCUAAGAAUAAGCACCGGCUAACUACGUGCCAGCAGCCGCGGUAAUACGUAGGGUGCGAGCGUUAAUCGGAAUUACUGGGCGUAAAGGGUGCGCAGGCGGUUGAGUAAGACAGAUGUGAAAUCCCCGAGCUUAACUCGGGAAUGGCAUAUGUGACUGCUCGACUAGAGUGU
RNAcentral lists this ribosomal RNA (598 nucleotides) under uncultured beta proteobacterium. RNAcentral's name for it is "bacterial SSU rRNA". It matches the Rfam family "Bacterial small subunit ribosomal RNA", at positions 64 to 649 of the family's 1533-position model. Lineage: Bacteria; Pseudomonadati; Pseudomonadota; Betaproteobacteria. The record is from RNAcentral.